Molecule: regulatory RNA element, 117 nt
Organism: Enterococcus italicus DSM 15952
Lineage: Bacteria; Bacillati; Bacillota; Bacilli; Lactobacillales; Enterococcaceae
Rfam family: Ribosomal protein L20 leader
About the family: This family is a putative r-protein leader autoregulatory structure found in B. subtilis and other low-GC Gram-positive bacteria.
Source: Rfam
AAAUGAAAGCAGAAGCACCCGCUUCUCGCCUUGUAGCAAUUGUUGCUGGGCAGAUAGUUAUCCAAUUUACUUGGGUUACGUGCGGGUUCGUAUACGAGCUCGUUUUUUUGUACCCCA